CGGGGAGCGAGUGGGAGAGCGGCCGCGAAGCUCCAGUGUUGAAAACGCACCCCUCCCAGCUUUUUGCAAGGCCUACUUGGGGGCGGAGAGACAAGCAAGCUGUCAUGUUAUAAGCAGCCCUUUGAGGGGUCCAUGUGAUGUCAAGGAAUGAAGUCUCUAGCCAACAUUUAAUGAGGAACUGAGGCCCACCAACAACCUUGAGUGAGCUUGGAAGUAGCUCCUUCAGCAUCAGUUGGGUGUCGAGAUGACUACUGACAGCUUGACUGCAACUUCAUGAGAGUCUUCUGGACCAGAACCACUCAGUUAAGUGGCUCCCAGAUUCCUGAUCCUCAGAAACUCUGAGAAAUAAUGAAUGUUGGUUGUUUUAAAAUGGUAAAUUUUGAGGUAUUAUGUUAUGUGGCAAUAGAUAGCUAAUAUAUAAAUUAUUUGAAUCAAACAAUACGUUAAAUUAAAGCUCAGAAGAAUAAACAUCUGUAAUUCCUUAAUUUGUUUUCCCUUCUAUUCUACAGAAUAGAAUUUUACAGAUGAACCUUGUAGUUACUUGUGCAAUAAGAGACAGUAUGUUGUAUUGAUUAAGUGCAGAGCCUCUGGAUGUAUGAUAGAAGAAAGACCAAUAUUCAAUUGCUUUCUUCUUCAAUUCCAAGCUUGUGAGCUUGAGCAAAUUUUAAAAGUGUUUUAAGCCUCAGUUUCCUGGGAUGGUAGUGCUUAGCUCGAGCUCCUAGCAUAUAUUAACUACAAACUAAAUAUUAGCUAUAAUUAUUAGUUUUACUUUGAUUAUUGACUCUAAAUAAAUACCUUAAGAACUUUGUGUUCUCCACAGAUUUGGAUAUGUCUGGACGUUAUGUAGGCUGGAGUAGUCAGCAAUUACUUGCCUGAGGAAGGGAAGGCCUCCUCCUUUAAGAAAAGAAUAGGCUGG
Molecule: long non-coding RNA, 916 nt
Filed under: Homo sapiens (human)
Lineage: Eukaryota; Metazoa; Chordata; Mammalia; Primates; Hominidae
Description: non-protein coding MIR3936HG:19
Source: RNAcentral